RNAcentral lists this unclassified non-coding RNA (337 nucleotides) under soil metagenome. RNAcentral's name for it is "partial contains 5.8S ribosomal RNA, internal transcribed spacer 2, and large subunit ribosomal RNA". The stretch from base 1 to 120 matches the Rfam family "5.8S ribosomal RNA", at positions 35 to 154 of the family's 154-position model. The record is from RNAcentral.
GAUGAAGAACGUAGCGAAAUGCGAUAAGUAGUGUGAAUUGCAGAAUUCAGUGAAUCAUCGAAUCUUUGAACGCACAUUGCGCCCCUUGGUAUUCCGAGGGGCAUGCCUGUUCAAGCGUCAUUACACCACUCAAGCUAUGCUUGGUAUUGGGCGUCGUCCUUAGUUGGGCGCGCCUUAAAGACCUCGGCGAGGCCACUCCGGCUUUAGGCGUAGUAGAAUUUAUUCGAACGUCUGUCAAAGGAGAGGAACUCUGCCGACUGAAACCUUUAUUUUUCUAGGUUGACCUCGGAUCAGGUAGGGAUACCCGCUGAACUUAAGCAUAUCAAUAAGCGGAGGA